AGGGGUAUAGCUCAGUUGGUAGAGCAGUGGUCUCCAAAACCACGUGCCAUGGGUUCGAAUCCUAUUGCCCCUGCCA
This 76-nucleotide transfer RNA is filed under the name Bacillota bacterium. RNAcentral's name for it is "tRNA-Trp". It matches the Rfam family "tRNA". From Rfam's summary of the family: Transfer RNA (tRNA) molecules are approximately 80 nucleotides in length. Their secondary structure includes four short double-helical elements and three loops (D, anti-codon, and T loops). Lineage: Bacteria; Bacillati; Bacillota. RNAcentral also lists the same sequence under 1 other name. The record is from RNAcentral.